This 257-nucleotide ribosomal RNA is filed under the name Blastocystis sp. Its description in RNAcentral is "partial small subunit ribosomal RNA". It matches the Rfam family "Eukaryotic small subunit ribosomal RNA", at positions 41 to 303 of the family's 1831-position model. Lineage: Eukaryota; Bigyra; Opalinata; Blastocystidae. The record is from RNAcentral.
AAAGAUUAAGCCAUGCAUGUGUAAGUAUAAAUAAUUUUCCUUUGAAACUGCGAAUGGUUCAUUAUAUCAGUUAUAGUUUAUUAGAAAUACUUUAAUAGGAGGAUAGUAGUAGUAAUUGUAGGGAUACUACAAGAAUAAAUCUUCCAUUUAGGAAGAGGUGUGUUUAUUAGUAUGAAAACCAUAUAUCUUUGGAUAUAAUAAUGAGUAAUAAUAACCGAUUGUAUUGUAUGUAGUAUGAUAACGAUAGUUCUUUCAAG